Aquila chrysaetos chrysaetos is the source of this 13359-nucleotide long non-coding RNA. RefSeq lists it as uncharacterized. The transcript is spliced from 2 exons. The record is from RefSeq and is a predicted model, not a curated record. Lineage: Eukaryota; Metazoa; Chordata; Aves; Accipitriformes; Accipitridae.
ACAGAAGGAGCUUGUGGUUAUCCUGAGAAUGCAUCUGCUUUGGUGACCUGCAGCCUUGGAGUAUUUAUGGAAGUCUGUGGUGCAAGGAGUGUGUUGCAAUUUGUAAGAGAAAAUGUGUGUCCAAACGUCAAAAAUAAUUGUUUUCCUUUUGGUAAGAUAUGCCAAAUUGUGGAGUCUGGCAUUUUUUUCUAGAAUCUGCAAAAUGCCCCCUGUAAUGGAAGAUGACACCCGCCUCAAGUGUAUCUUCACGGGCUGUCUGGUAUCCAUCAUUUACUCGCUCGACAACGUCACUCCAUCUCUUUAGCUUUAACCUGCAGUUGAGGGUAGUGGUGACAAUUGAGUGUGUCCACAAAGACACUGAAAUCUGUUUGCAUGUUAGGCUAAGUGCUGGAGAUGGCCUUGCUUCUGAUAUGUCCUCCUUGGAUUAUCAGCUGACAUUAUCUUCUGCUUUUCUUGUUGUUUAUUAGGUGUGUGGAUUUUGCUCAGGUUGUAUCAUUAGCACACAUCUUUUUUUUUCCCUAUUAAACCUGUCCUGCUUUUGACUGUGUGGAUUUCUAGAAUUACCUUUUGGAGUCUUCCACUUUGAAUGUGUGUAUAGAGAGUGGAAAGGCUUGUACACCUAGGCAGUGUUUCUUCUGUAAACAUCCUAAUGAUUUGGGAAACAUGCACAUUAUGGAGUAAUUUUUAUGAUCCAAGUGACCUAUGGAAUGUUCUCUCCAUAGGGUACCUUGUAAUCAGAUGAGUGGAUUUCCAGGCAGCAGAGCUGACUUUUUUUUUUUUUUUUUUUUUUUUUUUUUUUUUUUUUUGUGUGUGUGUGUGUGUCUGAUUCAGUGUGUGACCUUGUCACGAGCUCAGCCUGGUCUUACAUCACUGAGGCUUGACAUGUUGAGUCAAUCAUUUGUUCAUUCCCACUUGUGUCUCACUAAUCACUGCAUCAUAGCAUCAUUUAAUUGGAGUUGUGAGCCUCUGAGAUCAGUACGGAAGUCUGCAGUGGGAGGCUCCUAGUGCUGGGCAGACACUUGCCUGUGAAUAAGCAGUUGGAUCUGCCUGCGAUGACCUGUGGCAGGGCUUGGUGUGUGGGUGUACAUGUGUAUAUCCUGCAGUGAUGUUGUGAUAAAUGCACUGUCUGCUUUUCUGUUCAGAGGACUGACUUAAUCUCUGCGUGCUACAGAGGCCUUCCUUGUGCAGAGAAGGGUGUCUUGUUGUAAAAUGUAACUGCCAAAAAAUUCUGGUACUAAAAAUACUUCUCUGGACCUUCCUCUCUUCUGUCACCUCAACUGCACAAGCUGUGCGAAUCCUCUUAGUCUCUCUUCCUUUGGCACAGGAGGUUGUAAGAGAUCUUCUGUCAAAGACUUCACACACUCUUCCUUCAGCCAGUGGUAGCUGCCCAUCAGUGUGUUGUUUCUAGCCCUACCCAGAUAAAAAAAAUAGAACUUUCUUCUUGGCAUCUCUCUCCUGCCUUGCCUCAGGAAGCACACCAUUCUAACCAAUGUAUUUUAAAAUAAGGGCACUUUUAACUGGAAUAGUUGUGAAGCUGCAUCUUCUUGCUCUACUUAUGUGAUCCCAGCUUGCCAUGUCCCUCUACCUCCCUGCUCUUAUUCCAAAAUCCUGUCCUCCUUUUUUCUUUCUUCCUUUUUUUCCUUCAGUCUCACCUUAGCCAUGUGAUGAGGAUUGUAUGCUUUUGCUGCUGCUGAACUGCUGCUCUGUAAUGGGAUUGUCCCAUGGGACAGCUUCUGGGUGAGCUGCUUGGAACGUGCAGCAGAUGCUUAACCAGGACUUCCUUAGUAUCUCUGGUUGCUGCUGGGGAUGUGUGGCCCAGCAGGGUUAUCUCAGGACUCAGGUACUGCUGUAUAUUGCAGAAUCAUCGAUUCCGUGUGCUGAAGUUCACUUGGGCUGCUGUGUAAAUAGGUUGUUCCACGUAAAGCAUCCCUCCCUACCCUUUUCUAAAAUGAAACUGCUCUCCCCCAGCCCCACGGCAUUGAAGUUCUGGUUAUGGGUUUGCUGGGAUUUUUUGCCAGUUGACAUUAACAAAUCUGUGUGAUGAUAUAUCUCUGAAAUGUCCAUUCUUUCCCCGUAGAUUCAAAUGCCUUGUUAAUCAAGUUUUUCUCUGUUGGGAUAGAUGUUCUAUUUACAGCACCAGGAGCUUGAGCUGGCAAACGUUGAGGAAUAAUUGUGAUUUCCUGAAAUUUGUUUAAAUAACUUGAUCCAUGAGCGAAUGCCUAGAUAAGUGUCCAGUCCUCUCUGGCUGACUGAUCAUAUGAUGUGAUAUACCAGUACUUGCAGUGCAUCACUCACUCCUGUUGGCUACCACAUGCCGCUGUGCAGCAUCUAAAGGUGCAUGGGGGUGGAUACUCCCCACACUGGUGGCUCAAAGUGAGGAACCACUGUUGGGCAGCUGGACCUCUGGUCAUGCCCAGCAUGGCUGUUGUAAAAAUGGGGGUACUUGAAAACUUCUGCUCAUGAAUAUGAAAUGCAACGUGUACCACAGAUAAGUCUGCUCUCUGCCCCUUCCAUAGGCCUAAAGUUGUAUUGUAGAGCACUCAUUGGCAGAGCAACACCUAAGAAAUAGCUUUGUUUCAGUAUUGUCAACAUGCAAAGCGUUUUCCUGAGUGACACGGCAUCUGGCACACUCAACCUUUGAACUCGUUUGUAGGUGAGAUUUUGCCUUGAGCUAGAAAGGAUUUGAAGUAGUCCUUGGAUACAUAUGCAGGAUACAGGUGUUACCUUGUCUGUGUAGCUAUCGGGUCUUCUCCUCCUAACGUGGUAAUGGAACAGUUGUGUGACAAUGAGGAAAUCUUAGUCACAGAUGCUACGUAUAGGUGCAGUUUCACCUUAAAAUGAAUAGCAAUGUUUUACUGCUGGCUGCUCUUACUCACAGAUUGUAUGGUUUUUAUUGUGUUGACCUUCAUGAUUGGUUGAUUUUCUAUGAAGAUCUGUAGAAACUCUAAAUAUAUUCUUGUGUAACCGUUUGGAAGGCAUGUAUCAUUGUAGCAUCAAAGUGCUUCAAAGGAGUAUGCUAAAUCAGCUAUAGGACAGAUAGUGUAUUGCCAAAAUUAUCUGAUAGAUUGUGUACAUGGACAGAAGGUGAUUUUGGAUUAAGAUGUAAAAUCCCUUGAUCAAGCUCCUAUAUGAAAGUUAGUAGGACUCAUGCCACUAAUUUGCUUUGAUGCUUUUGAAGUCAUCCUUUAAGUAAGCUGGUGACUAACAGAAUUGCAGAUGCACUAUCAGAAAUUUCCUCUGUAGUCUUGGAAGUGGAUGGUGCUGAUGGUAUGACUGAAGUUACUUAAAGGAGACACAGACGCAGUGAGAGAGGAAUGUCUGUAUGGGUUCAGUUUACAUGAAUAAAGGCAUCUUGGUGAGCACACCAUAACUUUCAUUUCCAGAGCAAGACCAUUUUCUAUCACGGUUUUGCCAUAAUGGUUUGCACAAGACCUGUCAUUGUGAAAGAGACAGCAGUCCUUCUCAGCCCAAUCCCAGCAACGUUGAGGGGAACACCAGAUAUGUUUUACAAGCAGAUGAGCCAGCUUAUAGCGCUAAGACUCCAUCUGGACUGUUUUGAUAAGUGGGAGCACACCAAAAUGUUGUUGCAAUUUUCACUUGAUCAGUUGCUUUUGUUAGCUUCAGCAUCAGAACUGUUCGUUCAUGCUUUUAUGCUAUCUUGGUGAUGAUUGCUUUUUCCAUUCCUUGAUGCACUGUUGAUGUUGGGUUGCUGGAACAGGAAGGUAAAAGGUUGAGUCUAGAAGCUGAAAAAAAUGUCAAACUGCACACUCCCAGUGGUUAAGGAAGGCAGAAGCACUGUUUCCUUCUCUUAGAAGAAUGAUGGUCAGACUGCUUUUCUGCAGAAACUUUUUUUUUGCAUAACUAUGAGUAUGAUAGGCAGUGAGAGAGAGCAGGAAUUCCCUUCAGAUCUGGAUUUUGGUCUGUUUUCUUCCCAGCUGAGUUUGUGUUGGACCUUUUUAAUGUAAAUCGUGGAAGUUUGGGUACCUAGAAUUGGGGUACAUUCAAAAAGAGUGCCUUGAAUUUGCCAUUUUCUGCUUGGGUUAUGAGAAUUGCACAAGGAAGAGGUUAAAUUCAUAUGUUUCAAGUUUGAAGAUUCAAGAUCAAAGCUAUGGCAAACAGCAAUUUUAUUUGUGAAUUUCUGUUUCCAUUUGACUGUAACUGGGCUGUUCAUGUUGUUGACUAGAAAUGAAACAUGAUUACAGUGGAAAGUGGGGGCUGGCACGCCUGAGUGGGCUAUUGUGUCAUUAUCCAUCAAUCACAGGCAACAAGGAAACAGGUAUUUAACACAGAAGGACACACAGUUAUUAUCCGCCCCAUUCCCCUGCAAGCCACAGGGCACCUUUGAGACUCUUAUUAAAACUUUAAUACCUACAGAGAUCACAAGAAACACUGUAUGCUACGGGAUCAGAGAUCAGGAGCAUUGCUGUCAUUCUACAUCUGUGCAGGACAAGAAAACAUGUUAGGUGGAAGAGCACCGAGGCUGCUGGCAGACAACAGCCCUCUGCGCUUCUGAGGAAAGGCACAAACUUCCCCCAAUCCUCUCUCGUUUGAGAGAGGGAGAAUUUCUUCUUGCAUCGUAUCUGGUGACCUGUUUAACCCAGCAUGUGUGAAUGGGACAGCAACUGAGAGGUCCUCAGUACCACUGUGUGACCAGCUUACUGAAUCUUUGGCUAUGCUUGCUCCCAGAAGAGGGCAAUAGGGGGGAAAUCCUGAAGCCAUUUUGUACAAGGAGGCACAGGAGGGAGGUAGAAAGUUCUUCCUGGCUUCUGCAGCGAAAAAAGCUGUACAAUGUGCCGUUGACUUGUUGCAAUGAAGUGUCUGAUGUAAAGUAGCAUUCUGCCUUAAGGUUUGUUUUACUGUGCUGUUGCACUGUGUGUGUGCAUUGACAACUACCAGAUGUUGUAUCCAAGUGUCUUCCUGCAUCUCCAUCACUUCAGGCCACCUGUAGGUUCAGUUAGUUAUGUCUUCAACAAACAGCUUCCAGAAGUAGAUUCCCCAAAGGACAGGGGUCUAAAAUCAAGUGCGUCAUGUAAUUAAUUACAUUUUUAAUGAGGGUCAAAGCUAUAAAGCUGUAAACAUGAGAUACAAGUAUUUAAAUCUCUGAAACUGUCUUCUUUAGACCAAGAGGAUGAAAGUAAUUCUCUCCUGUUUUCAUAGACAGCAGGGGAAAUCUUAGGUUUUGUGAUGUACAGUCCAUGUCUUAGCAGGAGAUUAGCAAAUAUUCAGAUGGGCUGAUGUACCAGAUUUGAGCCAGGAUGGCAGUAAAAGCCCAAGCAAACAUUCGAUGUACUUUUCCAUCAAGGAUCUCAGGAGCAGAGUUAACAGAGAAAGUAAUUUUAAGUCCUCAGAAUCCCAAGAUGUAUUUUCAUACACAUAAAAUCAGGUUGAGAAGUCUCACUAAGAAGCUGUCUCAUGGUGUGAAGCUGUACAUUAAUUAUAUGAUGACUAAGGCAUUUUACUGUUUAUAGUCCUAGGUUUUUGAAAGCCUGAUUGAUUCUUCCCAACUUGUGAUAUCACUGGAGAAGAGAGCUGAGGUGGUUUGGUUGUUUUUUUCCCCGGACAAGGUGUUCUUCUGUGCCUGGUCCAUGUGGGACUGGUGUUUGUCCUCUACCACUGCCUGCUUCUCUGCCCAUUGCACUAACUUUGCUUGUCUGUUUUGCUAUCUUCUGGGGUGUACUGGGCCCAUCAUUAAAUGUAAGAAGUGAAUUCCAAAAUGUUUAAUAGACACCUCUUGGUGACAGGCAAAUGAUUGAUCCAUCUGCUUCUAAGAGGAGCAGCUGAAAGCAUCACCUCUCUGGUGCUCCAGUGCUUGCUCUUGAGAGAUGAGCAGCCGCACACAAGGAGCUGCAGGCAGUACCUCUGUGUCUGUCUGCCCUUGGUCUGCACGGGCCACUCUCUUUACUGAGCCGCCGGUCGCUGCCUGGCUUGAUACAUCCCUGGGUAUUGGAGUCCCACAAGAGGUUCAAGUGGCAGUACCUGAGCCACCUGCUACUGUGCUGCUUAUCUGACAGUUCAAGAUGUCUGUGCAUGCUGUUUCCCCUUCCUGGUCCCUCAGGAAUUCAGCCAAGCAGGGGCACUUGUGACACAAUAGGGGAUCGUGUUCUUUUCCUUCCUUGGUGUCAGGAUUAUCAUAGGAACUGCUCAGCUGCGCACUCACCUCUAUGGCUAGACUCCCCUGAAGAGCUGAGGUCAGCUACCGGAGGCUUGGAGCCUGAAUAUUCGCACAGGAGAGUCGCUUCUUCUGCCUCUUGCACCCUGACAAGGCACUAAGCUACUUUCUUCAGCAAUUCUGGGAACUGGCCAGGAAGGAGGGAUCUGGAUGUACCUCUGGUUGUUGUGCAGUGCAGUUGCCUGGAUGAACCUCUUAAACCUUAGUGCCCCUGUAAAGGAGGAGCUGCUGGGUCCUAUGGGGAGCUGUGACACCCACUAGUGUUACAUUGCACCCAAGCCAGGCUAGCAGGAGAAACUCAUUUCUUUCCAAAGAGCUCGGAUAGCUCUGUUCUCACGCUGUGCCAGGUUUCUUGGGCUAAUACUGACCAAAGAGGUUAAAGCAGCCGUUUCCCAAAUCGGCUCCUCAGAAGAGCUCUCUUAAGAGGCAGCACCUGCUCAGAUGUAGAAAUCGGUAUGGGUGCCAGCCUGAAGAUGUGCCAGCUGCCUUGUGGUUCUAUCUAGGUGUUAAGGAUCUGGAUUUAGCUUUUGGACAGGCCACCUCAAGAUCACAAUGACGUGCUGGGAACUGUCAUUGCGAUGGCACAGGUGAGUGUUGCACUGCUGGUGCAUUUCCCCAGCAAAUGGCAGGGUUCUUUCUCUCACCCUUUGGGAGUCAGUAUCAGGCAUGCACUUUUGCCAUUAACUGGGAAUUUAGGGAUGUUGAGAAAUGACGUCUCCAAGGACAAAACCCUCUUUUCAUCCAGAGCUGCUCCCUCUUCCCAGGGUUUUGGGAUCUUUUCCUUUCAGCAGACUGGCUGUCCUGCGGGGAGCUUGCCCGAGCACUAGCUGCAGAGAAAGCAUUGCCGGUGAAGGCUCUGAGUGCUUAAUUCAGUGGGCGCAGAAGUGAGUUUGGAGGCAUGUCUGGGGGACAUGCCUCUGGACUGCUCUCUUCCCCAUUUACAGUUGGUGUGUUCUUAGUGCAUGUUUGCUGCUGCGCAGAACAUCCUGCACUCUGUUCACCAUGCAGGUCAAGCUGUGUCAGAACUGGUGUGUAAUCCCAUGGUUACAUGCUCCAGCAAAAGGACACGCUUUUGUUUGGGUGUGGGGACUUUAACUGCUUAAUCAAAUAGGCUGAAUUUUCUCGCAAUAAAUUUACCCCUUUAAGGCAGAGCUUUCCAACCUGACUUUUUUCCAGCAUGAUUUUGCAUUGGGAUUGCUCUUUAGUGUUUUGAUAUUGUGCUUCAAAUCUAUGAGUAAGGAACUGGGCCUUUCCUCAUUGUUCUCCUGGCUUCCUUAUGGCCAUUGCUAAUUGUAAGGUACCCCUGGGAGAAAUGCACAGGAAGGUCCUGGCGUGGAUUAGUGCAUUGUGCUAACGUGCUUAAUCUUUUUAUUGUUUAACAGCGUUAUGAGAUGAGAUGACCUUUGAGGAAGAAGGUGGCCAUACAACAAAGUACUCAGAAAUGUGUCCAGGCUCUAGAGCAGCAUUUUGGAGGGAGAGGGGAAAUCCCUGUGUUGGGAGCAAAGGGAGUGUUUGAAGCAGCUGUUGGUCAAACACAGUGUCCAGACAGUAGACCAUGAUGAAUCAGAAAAGGAAUAUAGAUGAGGCAGGGCCAUGUGGACCCUUCCCUAGAGCUAUCUAUGAAUAUGCUAAAUAUUUAAAUGCUCUUAAGUUUUGAUAGUUUAAGUAUACUUUUCAAAUAGAGGAUUCAGCCUGAUUCAUACUUUUUUAAGCAUGGGAACAAGUGUUUGAUAUGCACGACCUUCUUAGCUUACCCUGUAAUAAGUCCUUAACCAUCCAUGCUUCUCUUUAGCUGUGGAAUGGGAGCGCAGCCAGUAAUACUAGAGUGCAGAACUUGUCACCCUUUGAGCUGUUAUCUCCUGAUACCCCCAGACCCUCACUGUCUGAACUCUAGAAAUCCUCUUCUGACCCCUUCGUACUGUAUAGGAAAGGCUUUCAUUUUAAAAUUUCCACAUUUUUCCAGUGAUCCUAUAAUGCUGAUCUGCAAAGGUGCCCUCUUCAGAGGGGUGAGGGAAGCUGGAGGUUAGAAUUCGCUGGACAGGGAGACGUUAGGGCUUUCAGUGGCAGCUAAAAGGUCCACUGCGCUUCACUGGAUCAAAGAAAGCUUUCAGAUGUGUUGAAAUCUCCUUAAAGGGUGAAAUGUAGAAGCCAUUCGUAUCACCUACCACCCAAAGCUGGCCCUAGAGCGUGUGAAGUCCAAGGCACAUUUUGUGUUUUCUCAAGCUGCGACACAUGGCUGUUAUCCGUCCUGGAGCCAUAGCUGGGAGCUUGCCUGUACCAACUGUUUUGGUGGUGUUCUCGGAGCAGGACUGAGCGUGCUGACAAGUGAAGCAAAUGCUGUGUUUAAAAGAUAAGCAUUUUGAGAGUCCUAACUUGGAAGUGAAUUGGAGUUCAUAAUUCAGGCAGUAAAAUGUAGAGAGCUGGCAUAGUCUGAAAGGCAAUUUCAGUGUAUAUUUGCGAAAAGGAUGUCAGUGGGGGGAGAUGAGUUGUAGAAAGAUACUGGGACUUGCUUAAAAAGAGUAUGGCUGGUAUCCAGGGAAUUUAGAAAUCGUAGGAAGAAAACUGGAGGUGUCUCAGCAGGCUAGAUUGGGUGUCUGUGGAAAUAAGGUACUUAAAGGAUGCAGACUGGUACCUUCUGCUCAAGGACAAAUGACCUGGAUAACCAGGCAGAAAGGGAGGCCUGAGGAGGGGUAUCCGGGAGCAAGUAGAAAUGGAAACGUGUGUCACGGUGGAUGGUCCCCGUGCAAGUAGGUAAUGGGUUUUAUAUGAAAGGAGUUUGAAAAAGAGGCACUGAGUGCUAUCUGGGAUAAAAUAAUCCUUGUAUAGCAUCUCAAUCUGUUAUAUUUAGCUACUACAUCUUUAGGACUCUCUAAGUUAUCCUCCUAGUGCCUCAGUUCUGUUUUAGGGCCAAUUUUGUUUAACAUGCGCGUCAGUGAUGUGCCUGAAAUUAUGUUCUGUUAACUCAGGAUUGAUGAUGACAUCUCUCAGCUCUCAGUCUCGGGCCUCCUCUGACCUUGAAGACCAUGAGCCCUGAGCAUGCCAUGCUGGUUGGCAUCAGAUCACUGUUGAAACGAAUGCCUUACUGCUAAAUGGUUCAAAGGGAUGCCACAUGCUCUUGAGCUCCAAGCAUCACUGAUGCUCAGGAGCCAAACAUCCUCCUUUCCAGGUGACCACUAACACAACUAUUGUGCAAGAUUCAUCUCAGUGUUAGCCUUGAUAAAAACCUGUAAUAAUAAUAAUAAUACACAGCAAGGUUGUUUGGAUCCACUUGGUGAUAUAACCAUUCCCCAGGGAUCCACCUGACCAUCUUUUUCCCCUGUAUAUCUUGAACCUUCUGCCUUGACUGUCAGCUACUCAGCAGUAGACUACUGGUCACUGAUAGAUUAGGCCAAUAAAAAGAAGUCCCUGAGCCGCAGAUGAUUAGGGAGCUGGAGAAGGGGGCUGAGAGCCUUGGGGAGAGUCCCACUACACUAGGAAUUUGCUUGUAAUUGCUCUUCCUGUAGGAAAUGCCAGAUUGCUGCAGUGCCCUGCAGCAGGCUGGAUUGCUCUUGUUUCUUCAUCUCUCUCUGUCAUGCUCUGUUUUCUAAAUGUUUAAUUACAGAUGGAUUGUGGUUUGUGAGUUCACAGCUUUUCUCAUCUGCUUUUUGUCAAAGGUAAGCAAAUGUACUGCCUGUUGCUCUGUAGAGUUGAGUCCCUUGCACAGCAGCUGCCAAGGAGCUUGGAGAUAAAAACUUCAGCAUAUGGAAAAAACGGGAUGAGAAGCCAGUUUCUGUGGCUGAAAUGAUCUUGUUUUGAAAUAUAUCCAGCUGGUCUCUUACCCUCCCAGGCAUCUUGGUGUUGGCCCUCUGCUCCAUCCCAGGAAGCUGCUGCCUCCUGAAUUCCAUGAGCAGCUGGGGAUGUGUGGCUGAGAGGGACUUUUGGUGUUUGACCCUGUCUGCGUGCUUUAUGUGAAGAUGAAUACCUUAAGGGAGAGAACCUCGUGCCCUCCCUGCCAGCUUCCCUCCAGCCUCUGUAUAGAGAUGAGAACCAUGCCAGUGAAAUAGGAUGCGAUUACAUAAUUUACAUUGUGUUGCAGUUGGGGUUGUUAAAUUUGCAUUUAUAAUCCAUACUCAAAUAGGAGAAAAACCUGAAAGCAGUCUGAUUUGUGGUUACAAUUAGAUAACCCGACUUCUGCUGUCAGCCACUUGUCUCCCUGUCCUGUGCCGUCCAGUGCAUUCGGAGGCCAGGACUGGAAAAUACCCUGAGCAUUGUGAGUGCUCACUGUCCUAGGAAGUGCUGCUGGGACCAUGGGCUCCCUCUGCAUUCCCAGGCUGCCUCCUGGGGUACUAUCUGAGGCUCCCCAAGGCAAUAAACACUAGUCAUUAAUCAGUUUAAAUAAUUUUUAAAUGAUGGGUGUAUAAUGAUUUUUGAAUAACCAUCCUAAUUAUAGUAAAUACGCAUAAGAGGGCUGAAAUAACAUCAUGUAAACGAGGUUAAUUCUGGUAUUUUAAUGUGACUGCUUUGCUGUGCUGCCCGUAAGCAUUCUUUUGUCAUAAUCUUUGUAUGCAAUUUUAUAUCUGUUUGCAAAUGAUAUUUUCAGUUCAUUUUUAACAUGUGGAACCAUGUCAGUUUUCCAACUUGGUUAUUAGUCAGCAAGAAGGAUACCACAACCUUUCAGUUCAUGGCACGGAUAUUUUCCAUUUAAUCAAACUAUGAACAAUAUAAGAAAUAAUUAGCUGAGGUGGUGUUUGGUUUUGUGCAUGAGCCAGCCGCUGGAGGAGAUCUGAGUAUGGUUCGCUUGUGGUGCAGGCACCUCGUGCACUCCCGUGGUUGCUGCUCUGUGGUUGUAGCCAAGGAGGAAACUUUGGCUUAUUAAUCCUUGUGGAUUUGGGGGCUCCAGAGCUGAUCCUUGGUUCUGUUCCAAAAAUGACCUGCGCCGCUCCAGGUGUGUCAUCUGUAAAGCUGAGACUGACAAUUGCUAUUCCACUGAGUCAGGUACCCAUGGCCUUUCUUGUGACGAGGGACGGUGGCAUGUGGUUACCACCCCACUGGAAGAGCUGGAGCACACUUCCUCCGCAGCAAUCCACAGCAGCGUUGGUUGCUACAUCCACGUCUCCGUGCGGUUUGGCAGCCCCUGUGGUAACUGCUGAAGCAUGACCCAUGGGGUGGAAUACUUGGAGAGCUGUCAGCUCAUUGUUAGGAGGCUCUGAAGUGAGAUUUUACUGAAGGUUUUAAUGUUUGACCAAGUUCAGUUAAAGCAGAAGCCUGGUUUGAUUUGAGGGAGUGUGCUGUGCUCCAAAAGCUCUCCAUGUUUCAAAUUUUCUAGGUCGCUCUUGGAUGCUCUAAAUUUUUUUCAGAGAAACCGUUAGCAAAAACUUUGACAUUGAUGAUUUGUAUUCUUCUGUCAUCUCGGUCUUGGAGAGCAUAAAGAUACUUUUUUGGCAAGUUCUCCCCCUCCUCAACCCCCAGUCAUCAUCAUUAGAAGCCUGUCAACAAACAUGAAAAAUACCAGCAUGCCAACUGUAAAUGCUAAUUGACAGAUAAGCAGCUGAAGUGGGUAACUCGUGCUAUGUCUGACCUGCAGCAGUCUGUCUCCUGGCCCUGUCAGUAGCUGCGUUGCUUCCCUAGGAAGUGUGAUCAAAGCGAUCUGUGCUCACAUACCUGCACUACUUGGUAGCACACACAACUUCUCCUGUACCUGUGAGUUAGCUGUGCUCUGUUCAGAGCAGGAGGUGAGUUCUUUCCUUGCUAAAGUAGUCCGAUUGCAAAGAGGAUAAACUAAAGAUGAGUUAAAACCAACCUCAUGAGUGGGCAUUACGUGUGCUAGGAAUGUGGUCUGGUUUUUUUCUUACAGUUGGCUUACCUUUACCGUUUAGAUCUUACUGAUAUUCUUUUAAUGCUUCUGGUUUAACUGCCUUUGGGGACAAAGAGCUUGGAAGCAGCUCUAGUAAAACUGGAGUUUUGUUGCUGAAGCCUUGUGCCCAGCUGACACAAAAUCUCCAAAGUGCUUUUGGAAGGAUUUAAUCACCUGUGGAUAUCAUGGCUAAGGGAGCUUCCCUUUUUCUUUCCUUCUCUUAAAGUAAGCUGUUCUUGUGGGGUUUGUCCCUGCUCAAUGAAGGGCUUUGAGACAUUGCUACUUGCUGUGUGCACUUUCUGCAAACAGGCUUUACAGUUUCAUGGCAUCGCUCUCUCGAGGACCACCUCAUGAUGGGAUUGCUUAGUUGAUCAGAGUCUCCUGACAGUAACAUUUACAUACUAAGCCAUCAGCUGUUAUUCCAGAUGAUGCAGAUUUUUUAGUAGCUUUAGCUGAAAUGGCUUGUACUGAAUUGUAUCACUUAGACUAGAAUCCAGUAUUGCAUUUCCAACAGACCUGUAAGUGAAAAAGCACGUAUAACUGUGUGUGAAAGAUACCGAACAGUAGCAUAAAUCAUUGCUCCCAGCAGUAAAGUCCUGAUGCUCUGUUUUGAUGAAUUUGGCAAUUCAGAAAAAACAGUAGAAUCUGCUUGUGCCCUUGGAAAUCUAGGCGUUUCCGUGGCUGAGAGCUCAGUGUUCUAGUACUGCAGAGCUGUGCUGCCUUUUCAACCCUUCACUGGUGAGUCAACUGUGUGUUUACUGCUAGUUUUGAGGGGGAGGUUCCUGACUGGGAGGACCAGAGAGACAUUUCUGUAGCAUACUGAUUUAGAAAGAAAAGGCCAAGCUGCUCAGAAGUGCAGGAUGUUGAAAACCCACAAGGAGAAUUAACAGGAUAGUGCAAUUGAGUCGGUGAGAGAGGUCCAGGGUAAAAUGCGUGAAUAUGGAAGAGAUUGUUACAGUCUGGGCACCAGACAGUACAUCUGGCAUACCUUGGGCUUACCUUUUUUUUCCCUCUAGCACUGCUCCCUGAAUUCUCAGAAGAUUUUUGUGAUUUCACAAAGGUCUGCUCAAUUGAAAGUGGUGAACUGAAAAUCAGAGUAUUAUCCAAAACAUUUUGCAGAGAAAAGGAAGAAGAUAUAGAUGAAAAAGAAUAAGCAGUGACGGGGACUAGAGGAAAUAAAGGUUCUGAAAAUAUUUGGGAUGGAAUCUAGUAACGAAAUGGGGGAAUGAGGAAUUUAAAGUCACUGAAUCCUGACAAUGUGUGUCCUAAAUGAAGGACUCAUUUUGGAGUGUUAAAUGAUGAUUGCAACCUUGAAAAUAACUUUAUCAAGAAGAAAUCAGUAAGAGAGAGCUUGCUG